GAAGAGGCCUCCAACACACCCACAAGUCAGUGUUUUGACGCGUGGGGUGACAGCUCCUGGGUUCCAGUGGGUUUCGGAUAUAAGUUGACUGGUGACAGAAAAGUGGAUGCAUGUCUCUUUGUUCAACAAGUAAAUGGCGAUUCAUGUGAGUCACCUAAGCUAUAUGAAAGAGAAGCGCUGCACACAUAUCUGUUGAAUGUGUAUGACAACAUGUUGCAGCAUCUGGUAUUUUUAGAGUCGAAUGACUUGUCCAGCUCAGCCUUCUCUUCAACAGCCUCACAUUUUCUUGCCCAAAAAUGCUGAGUGACCUGUAGCACUGAUCUUGACCAUUCUGACAAGCACACCCUAAGUGGUAAGAAUUGGUAACCAUCUCCUCCACAGCGACCCUGUGUCCCGGUUUCUCCCCGUGUUUGCCCGAGGACUCCAUUACCCACGGUCCUCCACGCUCCCGAAUCUGUUUCGUGUCUGCAAUCCCUACACCUGUCAACAGUCCCCUCACCACCCAUGAACUAUAUAUUCUGUACCUGUGUGUUCUGUCAGUGUAGCCUUUCACCUGUCAGUGACACCUCAAAUUUUAGAAGAGUAUUGGUGAAGAGCCAUGAUGACAAUAUUUUGGGAAAUAACUGCAGCUGCUUAAAAUGUCGACAUUUUCAUAUCAAUCACUGGGAUGUCGGAUUCAUGUUAGAACAUCAGCUUCAUGGGGUUAUUUUUAAAAGAAUAGGUUCAAAACAAUAUUUGAAUCAUUUAAGCAAUCCCUGUAUGUCUUAACCCAACAAUUUUUGUAUUUGAAUACAAAAUAUGACAUUUAAUACUGAAAUCUAUCUAUGUGUUAUUAUUUGUAGCUUGACCAGCCAAAAUGCAUAUGAUACAUAAAGUAUAAGAUUUGAUUAUUUUAAGGAGUAAAUUUACAUUUUUGGCUUUUGUCUUUGUCUUUUUUGUUUAGGAGCUACUGUAGGGUUGACAAUCUUCCAAAAAAAAGCAUAUCACAAUUUCUAUUAAAAACCAUAUAUAAUAUGUUGCGUUCUUUCUGAUUCUAAAAUUUAGACAUAUGUGUUUGCACAAUUCAUGACAUUGAUUUAACCAUUGUGACACUGCAACAACAUGCAGAAUGCAUGGUUCCUGGGUCCUUUAUCACAAUGAUAUCAUAGGUUUGUAUAAGAAUAACGCUUGUUAUUACUAUUAAUAAAAAAUGAUCUUUUAUUUUAUUUAAAUAUUAACUUUUAUUAUUACAGUAUUAUAGUUUUUGCAUUGUUAUAAAAUUCUUUCAUUUGGUAAUUUCUCAUUUCAUUUGAUAAUCAUUUGUUUUUUUUAUGGCUAGUUUAGGAAGACAAAGUGAUUUAAAGCCUUAAAAAAAUGUUUUACCAGGAUCCAAAAUCCCAUUGAGACUUCACAUUCUCUUUUUCCGGGGGUCAAGACAGUGGCACACAAAGUUUCACACAAAACAAGACACAUAGUACUCAGUACCAAAAACAAGUAAAUCAAGAUAAACACUUAAGGCUUGGUUUUAAAGGAAUCUUUUAAAACAGAAUACAAAAUACAUUUAAAAGUGCAUGAGGAUAGAAAGGACACCAAUUUAAAUACCCUUUGCAAAUCAUUACAUGCCCAAUGGGCAUAAAAUGAAAAUCACAUUUACCAAAUUCUGAGGACACGUUUGGAUUUUUUUAAGUUGAAAUACGAUUGAGAUGCAAUAACUAUUUGUGUACAAGGUUAAAAGAUUAGAUUAGCUAAUUUGCCCAGAGGUGUCUAAGAAAUAAAUAUAUGAACUUUCCUCCUAAAAUUUAAAUAUGAGCAUGACACAGAUUCAUGUAAUAUUCAAUGAUCAGAGCGUGAAUCUGCACCACACACAAAAAGUAAUGCCGCACGGUAGACAAUAUCCAAUUUCCUUAAUACGGAAGAGGCUGCAUACAUGUAAACAGUGUCCCCAUAAUCUAUAGACAAAACCUCUCUAUAAAUGUCUUUCUCUCCUCAUAAUUAAUGCAGCUUUUCAAACGAUAAAGAAACCUCAGUUCGGGUUUGAGUUUUCUCAACAAAUUAUCAAUGUUUACAUUAAAACCCAAUUUCUCAUCAUUCAAUAUACCUAUAUAUUUAUAGGAGCCAACUAUUUCAAUAUGUUUACCAUCUAGAGUUGAGGUUACCACAUCUGGUUCCUUACAUUUAUAUUAACGCAUUCUGCCGAUUAAAUUGGAUUAUCCUACACAUUUAUACAUAGGUAUGUGCUAUCCCCUGGGAUCGAACCCUCAACCUUGCGUUGUUAACGUAAUACUCUUAUCACUGAUUUGUAUUGAUUAAAACCAAAUUCAUCUAUAACAGUGAGCAUUGAAUUACAUAAAACAGAUUUUGUAAGUUUAUUAAUGUUUGGUUUACAGAAGAUGCUGCUAACUGUAUCAUCAGUGUAUACAUGUAUAUUAGCUGAAUCCACUCCAAAGACUAAAUCAGACAUGAAACACAGAUACGAGACACAGACGGGUCUUUUCCCAUAUGUCUUGCCUGACUGCCUAAUGUUUAUUUUUCAGUGAGGGGAAUACAGUAAUGUUCUGCCUCUUUUCCUGUGACAUAGCUUUUCAACUAUUUUGCUGCCCAGAAAUUCAUGCCGUCUCAACAUGAUCUGUGUACAUCAUGGAUAUUAUACAGUAUAUUAUUUGGUCCCCACUGUGCAUAACUGAUACAGGGCAGUACUUGUUACUAUGUAGCCUAUGUACUGUUACAUUUUAUU
Long non-coding RNA from Triplophysa dalaica, 2713 nucleotides. RefSeq lists it as uncharacterized. NCBI's taxonomy places the organism in Eukaryota, Metazoa, Chordata, Actinopteri, Cypriniformes, Nemacheilidae. The transcript has 3 exons. The record is from RefSeq and is a predicted model, not a curated record.